UACGUAGGGGGCAAGCGUUAUCCGGAUUUACUGGGUGUAAAGGGAGCGUAGACGGAUGGACAAGUCUGAUGUGAAAGGCUGGGGCUCAACCCCGGGACUGCAUUGGAAACUGCCCGUCUUGAGUGCCGGAGAGGUGAGCGGAAUUCCUAGUGUAGCGGUGAAAUGCGUAGAUAUUAGGAGGAACACCAGUGGCGAAGGCGGCUUACUGGACGGUAACUGACGUUGAGGCUCGAAAGCGUGGGGAGCAAACAGG
This 253-nucleotide ribosomal RNA is filed under the name Blautia luti. RNAcentral describes it as "partial 16S ribosomal RNA". It matches the Rfam family "Bacterial small subunit ribosomal RNA", at positions 524 to 776 of the family's 1533-position model. Lineage: Bacteria; Bacillati; Bacillota; Clostridia; Lachnospirales; Lachnospiraceae. The record is from RNAcentral.